This 465-nucleotide ribosomal RNA is filed under the name uncultured bacterium. RNAcentral's name for it is "bacterial SSU rRNA". It matches the Rfam family "Bacterial small subunit ribosomal RNA", at positions 338 to 795 of the family's 1533-position model. The record is from RNAcentral.
CCUACGGGUGGCUGCAGUGGGGAAUUUUGGACAAUGGGGGCAACCCUGAUCCAGCCAUGCCGCGUGAGUGAAGAAGGCCUUCGGGUUGUAAAGCUCUUUUGGCCGGGAAGAAAGUGCCUUGCCUAAUACGCGAGGUAUUUGACGGUACCGGCAGAAUAAGCACCGGCUAACUACGUGCCAGCAGCCGCGGUAAUACGUAGGGUGCGAGCGUUAAUCGGAAUUACUGGGCGUAAAGCGUGCGCAGGCGGUUCGUUAAGUCUGAUGUGAAAGCCCCGGGCUCAACCUGGGAAUGGCAUUGGAAACUGGCGAGCUGGAGUAUGGCAGAGGGGGGUGGAAUUCCACGUGUAGCAGUGAAAUGCGUAGAGAUGUGGAGGAACACCGAUGGCGAAGGCAACCCCCUGGGCCAAUACUGACGCUCAGGCACGAAAGCGUGGGGAGCAAACAGGAUUAGAUACCCUAGUAGUC